RNAcentral lists this ribosomal RNA (858 nucleotides) under uncultured bacterium. Its description in RNAcentral is "SSU rRNA". It matches the Rfam family "Bacterial small subunit ribosomal RNA", at positions 524 to 1381 of the family's 1533-position model. The record is from RNAcentral.
UACGUAGGGGGCGAGCGUUGUCCGGAUUUAUUGGGCGUAAAGAGCUCGUAGGCGGUUCAACAAGUCGGUCGUGAAAGUUCAGGGCUCAACCCUGAAAUGUCGAUCGAUACUGUUGUGACUAGGAUACGGUAGAGGUGAGUGGAAUUCCGAGUGUAGCGGUGAAAUGCGUAGAUAUUCGGAGGAACACCAAUUGCGAAGGCAGCUCACUGGGCCGCUAUCGACGCUGAGGAGCGAAAGCUAGGGGAGCAAACAGGAUUAGAUACCCUGGUAGUCCUAGCUGUAAACGAUGGAUACUAGACGUAGGAACUGGAUUGACGGUUUCUGUGUCGUAGCUAACGCGUUAAGUAUCCCGCCUGGGGAGUACGGUCGCAAGACUAAAACUCAAAGGAAUUGACGGGACCCCGCACAAGCGGCGGAGCAUGCGGCUUAAUUCGAUGAUACCCGUAGAACCUUACCUGGACUUGACAUAUAGGGUCUAGCUAUAGAGAUAUAGUGUGCAUUAGCGCCCUAUACAGGUGGUGCAUGGCUGUCGUCAGCUCGUGUCGUGAGAUGUUGGGUUAAGUCCCGCAACGAGCGCAACCCCUGUCCUAUGUUGCCAGCAUUUAGUUGGGGACUCAUAGGAGACUGCCGGUGAUAAACCGGAGGAGGGUGGGGACGACGUCAAGUCAUCAUGCCCCUUAUGUCCAGGGCUGCACGCAUGCUACAAUGGCAAGUACAACGAGUCGCAAUACCGCGAGGUGGAGCAAAUCUCUUAAAGCUUGUCUCAGUUCGGAUAGGAGUCUGCAACUCGACUCCUUGAAGUUGGAGUCGCUAGUAAUCGCAAAUCAGCAAAGUUGCGGUGAAUACGUUCUCGGGGUU